Molecule: ribosomal RNA, 1368 nt
Filed under: Enterococcus hirae
Lineage: Bacteria; Bacillati; Bacillota; Bacilli; Lactobacillales; Enterococcaceae
Description: bacterial SSU rRNA
Rfam family: Bacterial small subunit ribosomal RNA
Source: RNAcentral
CUCCACCGGAAAAAGAAGAGUGGCGAACGGGUGAGUAACACGUGGGUAACCUGCCCAUCAGAAGGGGAUAACACUUGGAAACAGGUGCUAAUACCGUAUAACAAUCGAAACCGCAUGGUUUUGAUUUGAAAGGCGCUUUCGGGUGUCGCUGAUGGAUGGACCCGCGGUGCAUUAGCUAGUUGGUGAGGUAACGGCUCACCAAGGCUACGAUGCAUAGCCGACCUGGAGAGGGUGUAUUCGCCCCACAUUGGGGACUGAGACACGGCCCCAAACUCCUACGGGGAGCCACCAGUAGGGAAUCUUCGGCCAAUGGACGAAAAUUCUGACCGAGCAACCCCCGCGUGAGUGAAGAAGGUUUUCGGAUCGUAAAACUCUGUUGUUAGAGAAGAACAAGGAUGAGAGUAACUGUUCAUCCCUUGACGGUAUCUAACCAGAAAGCCACGGCUAACUACGUGCCAGCAGCCGCGGUAAUACGUAGGUGGCAAGCGUUGUCCGGAUUUAUUGGGCGUAAAGCGAGCGCAGGCGGUUUCUUAAGUCUGAUGUGAAAGCCCCCGGCUCAACCGGGGAGGGUCAUUGGAAACUGGGAGACUUGAGUGCAGAAGAGGAGAGUGGAAUUCCAUGUGUAGCGGUGAAAUGCGUAGAUAUAUGGAGGAACACCAGUGGCGAAGGCGGCUCUCUGGUCUGUAACUGACGCUGAGGCUCGAAAGCGUGGGGAGCAAACAGGAUUAGAUACCCUGGUAGUCCACGCCGUAAACGAUGAGUGCUAAGUGUUGGAGGGUUUCCGCCCUUCAGUGCUGCAGCUAACGCAUUAAGCACUCCGCCUGGGGAGUACGACCGCAAGGUUGAAACUCAAAGGAAUUGACGGGGGCCCGCACAAGCGGUGGAGCAUGUGGUUUAAUUCGAAGCAACGCGAAGAACCUUACCAGGUCUUGACAUCCUUUGACCACUCUAGAGAUAGAGCUUCCCCUUCGGGGGCAAAGUGACAGGUGGUGCAUGGUUGUCGUCACCUCGUGUCGUGAAAAGUUUGGGUUAAGUCCCGCAACGAGCGCAACCCUUAAUUGUUAGUUGCCAUCAUUUCAGUUGGGCACUCUAGCAAAACUGCCGGUGACAAACCGGAGGAAGGUGGGGAUGACGUCAAAUCAUCAUGCCCCUUAUGACCUGGGCUACACACGUGCUACAAUGGGAAGUACAACGAGUCGCGAAGUCGCGAGGCUAAGCUAAUCUCUUAAAGCUUCUCUCAGUUCGGAUUGUAGGCUGCAACUCGCCUACAUGAAGCCGGAAUCGCUAGUAAUCGCGGAUCAGCACGCCGCGGUGAAUACGUUCCCGGGCCUUGUACACACCGCCUGUCACACCACGAGAGUUUGUAAC